This 75-nucleotide transfer RNA is filed under the name Mycolicibacterium duvalii. Its description in RNAcentral is "tRNA-Thr". It matches the Rfam family "tRNA". Rfam says of the family: Transfer RNA (tRNA) molecules are approximately 80 nucleotides in length. The record is from RNAcentral. Lineage: Bacteria; Bacillati; Actinomycetota; Actinomycetes; Mycobacteriales; Mycobacteriaceae.
GCCUCCUUAGCUCAGUGGUAGAGCACCUGCCUUGUAAGCAGGAUGUCGUCAGUUCAAUCCUGACAGGAGGCUCGA